GGUCUUGUGGUCUAGUGGUAUGAUUCUCGCUUAGGGUCUUGUGACAAAACCUGAGCUGCUUGCGAGAGGCCCCGCGUUCGAAUCGCGGCAAGACCC
This is a non-coding RNA of Lojkania enalia, 96 nucleotides long. The record is from the annotation of a GenBank genome assembly. Lineage: Eukaryota; Fungi; Ascomycota; Dothideomycetes; Pleosporales.